UGCGCAGGUGGGCUUGUAAGUCAGUGGUGAAAUACCGCCGCUUAACGGUAGAACUGCCAUUGAUACUGCAAGUCUUGAAUAUGGUUGAGGUAGGCGGAAUGUGUCGUGUAGCGGUGAAAUGCAUAGAUAUGACACAGAACGCCGAUUGCGAAGGCAGCUUACUAAGCCAUUAUUGACGCUGAGGCACGAAAGCGUGGGGAGCGAACAGGAUUAGAUACCCUGGUAGUCC
This 229-nucleotide ribosomal RNA is filed under the name uncultured bacterium. RNAcentral describes it as "partial 16S ribosomal RNA". It matches the Rfam family "Bacterial small subunit ribosomal RNA", at positions 568 to 796 of the family's 1533-position model. The record is from RNAcentral.